This 751-nucleotide ribosomal RNA is filed under the name Shouchella clausii. RNAcentral's name for it is "Bacillus clausii partial 16S ribosomal RNA". It matches the Rfam family "Bacterial small subunit ribosomal RNA", at positions 49 to 780 of the family's 1533-position model. Lineage: Bacteria; Bacillati; Bacillota; Bacilli; Caryophanales; Bacillaceae. The record is from RNAcentral.
UAAUACAUGCAAGUCGAGCGGACAKAUAAGGAGCUUGCUCCUURGACKUUAGCGGCGGACGGGUGAGUAACACGUGGGCAACCUGCCCCUUASASUGGGAUAACUCCGGGAAACCGGAGCUAAUACCGRAUAAUCCYUUUCUCCACCUGGAGAGAGGGUGAAAGAUGGCUUCGGCUAUCACUAAGGGAUGGGCCCGCGGCGCAUUAKCUAKUUGGUAAGGUAACGGCUUACCARGGCAACGAUGCGUASCCGACCUGAGAGGGUGAUCGGCCACACUGGGACUGASACACGGCCCAGACUCCUACGGGAGGCAGCAGUAGGGAAUCUUCCGCAAUGGACGAAAGUCUGACGGAGCAACSCCGCGUGAGUGAGGAAGGCCUUCGGGUCGUAAAGCUCUGUUGUGAGGGAARAAGCGGUACCGUUCGAAUAGGGCGGUACCUUGACGGUACCUCACCARAAAGCCACGGCUAACUACGUGCCAGCASCCGCGGUAAUACRUAKGUGGCAAGCGUUGUCCGGAAUUAUUGGGCGUAAAGCGCGCGCAGGCGGCUUCUUAASUCUGAUGUGAAAUCUCGGGGCUCAACCCCGAGCGGCCAUUGGAAACUGGGGAGCUUGAGUGCAGAAGAGGAGAGUGGAAUUCCACGUGUAGCGGUGAAAUGCGUAGAGAUGUGGAGGAACACCAGUGGCGAAGGCGACUCUCUGGUCUGUAACUGACGCUGASGCGCGAAAGCGUGGGGAGCAAACAGGAUUA